UACAGAGGGUGCGAGCGUUAAUCGGAAUUACUGGGCGUAAAGCGUGCGUAGACGGCCUGGCAAGUGGAAGGUGAAAUCCCUCGGCUUAACCGAGGAACUGCCCUCCAAACUGCUUGGCUUGAGUCCGGGAGAGGUGAGUGGAAUUCCCAGUGUAGCGGUGAAAUGCGUAGAUAUUGGGAGGAACACCAGUGGCGAAGGCGGCUCACUGGACCGGAACUGACGCUGAGGCGCGAAAGCGUGGGGAGCAAACGGG
RNAcentral lists this ribosomal RNA (253 nucleotides) under uncultured bacterium. RNAcentral's name for it is "partial 16S ribosomal RNA". It matches the Rfam family "Bacterial small subunit ribosomal RNA", at positions 524 to 776 of the family's 1533-position model. The record is from RNAcentral.